AUGUGGGCCACAUGGCAGCUCUGUGCAGAGGUUCAUUAUUCCCUCUGUCCAAAAGGCGGAAGCCAGGAAAGAUCGUGGUGGAAUAAUUGGGUGUUUAGACCUGGGUUUGUAACUGUGCUCUGUACUGACCACCAGGGACCCAGGCAGGCACUUCACCUUCCCAGGGUAGACCUGUGGGGGGCUUCGUCAGCCCUGGGCAGGGUCUCAUUCUCCAGGUGUGCCUGUCCUCAGGGAGGGACUUCCCUUGUCUGCUUUGUCAUUUUCAUUUGCCUAUGCUGUGUCUGUUUACCAGAUUGUUCCCAGGACAGACUGAAAGGGGCAGUGCCUACCGUGUGUCCCCACAUCUACCUGGUUUCAAAUUCUAAUGCUGGAGAGACCAGCAUGACUGUCCAAGGCCGGUUCCCAGAUGCUGACCACGAGGCUUGGGUCCAUGGGGAAGUGACCAUUGGCUAAGGCUGAUGAGAAGAAUUUGGAAGCUGAGAUAUUUCACUUCAAUUCCACAACUGCUACCUCCCAUCUAAGGGAGAGGGUGUGGAGGUUUGAGGAGUGAAUUGGCUUGCCCAAGGAAAGGACCCUUGUCCCUUCAGGAGCAGGUAGGAAGCAGGUGUGUCCUCCUGGUCUGACAUGGAGUGGGAUGGGAGCUGGCUGACCCCAGGGGCUGGUUCUGGGGCCACCGCUGCUUGGGGGCCGAACCACCAGACCACUGGGGCCUCCAGCUGAAUAUUCAAGGCAGGUCCAAGAGCCAGGCCCUGCAUGUGACCCACUGGCCUCUCCAUGGGGCCAGCUGCCUGUCUAGCCCGUGGAUGUUGUCUGCACUGUGCAGAUGCUAAAAACUCCGGGGUGUCUCCCCGCGUCCAUCUCCUGUUGCUGGCUCUUAUGGUGUCCAGGCUGGCAGGCCUGUUGCUGGGCAGAGGCCGGGCAGAGUACAACCAGCUCUCAUUAAAGACAUCUCAUAAGUUGAUGGAAACCCAUCCAGCACAAAGGGGCAUUUAUUGGGCUGGAUGGUGUGUCUCUGUCUGAAUGCAGGGAGGAGAGAAAUAGCCUUUCACAGAGUGCCAGCAGGGCUGGGCUGUCCUGCUCUGAGGGUGUCAGUUUUCCAGCUCUUUCUCCAAGCUGUGCAACCUGUCCCUUUUUAUGUGAGUUACUCACCCUGUCCUGGGCAGGGGACUCGCUGAUCCCUCUCCUGCUAAAACUGUUAGAGAGAGAGGGAAAAAGGGGGAGAGGGAGCAAGAGAGGAGAGAGAGACUGGAAACGUGAAAAUACAGGUUGAGUUUCCGUAGGGAUGCUUUGCCUCAAUGGUUCUCCAUGAUGGGAGUGACGUGCAUUUAUGUCUUACCUGAAACCCUCUCAGUAAGAUGAAAUCAGACGGUGUCGUGCCCCAGGAAGUGACUGUUGUGUUUUUGAAAACGGCUGUCAUUCCCAACUUGCACAGCUUUGCUUGUGCUACUCCUUCUGCCUGUAACGUUCCUCCAAAAAUGCACAAUUAAGCAACAAUUAAGUCUUAUUUGACACCUGUACAUAAUUUAAAAAAAUGUAAUGUGCUAAAGCCAAUGCUAGUAAUGUUCUGGAGAGGUUAAGAAGUAGCUCAGUUACUAGUAAUAGAGGUCUAAAAUUCAAAGACUUAACUAAUACUGGAUUUAUUUUACUCGCACCUUGAAACAAGCCUGGAGACAGGAAAUCUAAGGCUGGCAUGGCUCCUCCACAGUAUUAUUAUUAUUUUUUUUUCUGCUGUAAUGUGCUUAUUAUGUGCCCCCCAAAAAACUACACCAUAGCUUACUCCAGACAUCUGUAGGAGAGUUCAGUCUUGCCUGCAUAUAAUACAAUGAGAUAGAGACUUCACACAGUUUCACAAAACCCACAGAGUAGCUGGGAUAUGCAACAGUGCAGUGUCAGCUCAGCAGGAGGGAGUCGGGGGGAUCUUUCUUUUCUGCCUUGCAUAGUGUGGAGCUUCCAUCCUCAAAAUAGCCUCAUGGCCCAAGAUGGCUGCUGGAGAUCCAACCAUCACAAUAAAAAGCAGGCAUGGGGGCAAAAAGGGCUCAUUUCCAGUUAUCCCCUCUUAAGGAGCUUUCCAGAUGACUCACUCAGUAAUUCUGCUUACGUCUCAUUAGCUACCCAUAGAUACAGGGUGGGAUGGGCAAAUUGCCCCCCACACUCUAGAAUCAAAUCAGGUCUUAUUUCCUGAGGGACAUGCAGUGGGUGAUCUGUGGUGUCUUCUGCAGGCCGGCACACCUGUAAGUACAGCUGGUGGAGAGGUACAUUGGCUGAUUUCUUCUGGAAGGCAAACUUUUAAAUACAUAUCAAGAGGGAGUAAAAUAUUCAUCCCGUCCCGUGUGUCUCAAGUCUGUGAUUUUAUCUUUGGGAAGCAAAGGGAAAAACACAAUGCAUGUGCACGAAUAUAUUCAUGGUCACACAUUCACUAAACGACAAUUCUGAAAUACCUCCUUGGAGAUAUUGCAGCUUUGGUUCCAGACCACUGCAAUAAAAUGAACAUCUCAAUGAGUGAGUCACACAAAUGUUUUGGUUUCCCAGAGCAAAUUCAAGCUAUGUUUAUACUAUACUGUAGUCUAUUAAGUGUGCAAUAGCAUUAUGUCUAAAAAAACAAUGUGCAUACGUUAAUUUUAAAACACUUUAUUGCUAAAAAAUGCGAAUUAUCAUCUGAUGCAGGGUUGCCACAAACCUUCAAUUUGUGAAAAAUGCAGUAUCUACAAAGUGCAAUAAAGCAAAGCACUGUAAAAACAAGUUAUGCCUGUAACCUAAAUUUCCAGCAGGUAAAACACAUGAGAAUGCUGUUAUAUUCACUUGGUGGGAUAUUCUGUCAUCACUGUAAAUGUUACUCAUGAAGGACAUAUAGUAACAAAAAGAGUGUUUACAAUGUAACUUCAGAGAAAAGACAGGAUAUCAAAAUGUGCAUUGUGAUUAUCACUGGUUACCGUGCAUUUGCAGGAGGCAGGGAACAGAGAGACAGGGUGGCCUUAAGGGUAAGGUUUUCUUUUUAAACUUCCCCAAACCUUGUUUUACACAUACACACACAUGCACACAUUCUUUAUAUAAAAUAAUAAAAACAUUUAAAUAAACAAUAAAAAUUUA
This is a long non-coding RNA of Delphinapterus leucas (beluga whale), 3087 nucleotides long. The record is from Ensembl. Lineage: Eukaryota; Metazoa; Chordata; Mammalia; Artiodactyla; Monodontidae.